This 389-nucleotide ribosomal RNA is filed under the name Clostridioides difficile. RNAcentral's name for it is "bacterial LSU rRNA". It matches the Rfam family "Bacterial large subunit ribosomal RNA", at positions 268 to 660 of the family's 2925-position model. The record is from RNAcentral. Lineage: Bacteria; Bacillati; Bacillota; Clostridia; Peptostreptococcales; Peptostreptococcaceae.
CCCAAACCAAUAAAGUUUUCUUUAUUGGGGUUGCGGACAUAUCAUAACGAAGAGGUAUCGUAAUUGAAGAGGUUUGGAAAGACCCACCACAGAAGGUAAUAGUCCUGUAUGUUAAACGAGAAGACUUUAGAUAUGAUCCAGAGUACCACGGGACACGUGAAACCCUGUGGGAAGCAGGAGGGACCACCCUCCAAGGCUAAAUACUACCUAGUGACCGAUAGCGUAUAGUACCGUGAGGGAAAGGUGAAAAGAACCCCGGGAGGGGAGUGAAAUAGAACCUGAAACCCUGUACUUACAAGCUGUGGAAGCACAUUUCUUGUGUGACCGCGUACUUUUUGUAGAACGGGCCAACGAGUUACGUUAAGUAGCAAGGUUAAGCACUUAAGGUG